Molecule: ribosomal RNA, 473 nt
Filed under: uncultured bacterium
Lineage: Bacteria
Description: partial 16S ribosomal RNA
Rfam family: Bacterial small subunit ribosomal RNA (bases 20-291)
Source: RNAcentral
AACGAACGCUGGCGGCAUGCCUAACACAUGCCAGUCGAACGAGACCUUCGGGUCUAGUGGCGCACGGGUGCGUAACGCGUGGGAACCUGCCCUUAGGUUCGGAAUAACUCCCCGAAAGGGGUGCUAAUACCGGAUAAUGUCUUCGGACCAAAGAUUUAUCGCCUUUGGAUGGGCCCGCGUUGGAUUAGCUAGUUGGUAGGGUAAAAGCCUACCAAGGCGACGAUCCAUAGCUGGUCUGAGAGGAUGAUCAGCCACACUGGGACUGAGACACGGCCCAGAAGAGGGAGGGGGGAAGGAGGGGGAAUGAGGGGAAAAGGGGGGAGAGAGGGAGCAAGAAGGGAGGGGGAGGUGAGGAGGGAGGUGGGGUGAGGAAGGGCUAGUACAGGGGAUGAGAAGGAAGGGACCGGGAAAAUAAGCCCCGGAUAACGCGGGGCGAGCAGACGGGGGAGUGGGUCGAAGAGAACACGCAGAAC